This 1272-nucleotide long non-coding RNA is filed under the name Cairina moschata (Muscovy duck). RNAcentral's name for it is "domestica (muscovy Duck (domestic type)) lncRNA (ENSCMMG00000002070.1)". The record is from RNAcentral. Lineage: Eukaryota; Metazoa; Chordata; Aves; Anseriformes; Anatidae.
CGAGCUGGCGGCCUUCGCAAACCCGCGGCCGCCCCCAGCCCAAACCCAGCUCCGGGGCCGGCCGCCAGGGGGGACCCGCGGCCCUGCCCUGCCCGCCCCGCAGCCGGGGCCUGCCGGGUCUCGCCCCGCCGGGGCCCUCCCGCAGGGCCGCGGCCCCUCCGCGCCGCCGCCUCACGGCCAUGGAGGAGCCGAGGCCUCCCCGCCCUCCUCGCCCUCCUCUCCUACCUGUCCCCGGGGCCGGAGGGAGGCUGUCUGGCGGCGCCGCGGCAGGAGGCGGGCGGCUGGACUCGGCGCUGCCGCCUGUGGGCGGUGCUGAGGGGGGACCCGCGCUGCGCCCCGCCCGCCGGCUGACUGGGGUUGACCUGGCCGCCACAUGCUUAAGCGACCUCAAAGGAAGAGAAGAGAAAUCUGCUAGAAUUCCGCUGAGAGCAAGAUGGGCUGUUCCUUUACGUAAGAAAGGCAGAGGAACUUCAUACAGCAAAAACUGGAAUGCUGGAAGAGUUGCAUCACAGCUGGGCUGUCCAUCAUCACAGAGGACACCAAGAAAGAGACACCUUUGCAAUACUCCUUGUAUGAAGCACCUGAAGAAAUACUGACAGUCUGGUAAUAAAGUCUGUUUUCAAGGAUUUUAUCUGAUUUCAGAGCUCGAGAAAAAUUUUAAUCCCUCUCUCAGAACUUCCCAUCAUCAUGGAAAGACUUUUUUAUUUAUUAUUUGCAGAUAAAUAUUGUUAUUUUAUAAAUACACUGAGGCUUUCUGUGUACCAGUUAUGGUGCUAGUCUUUGCAGAGUUGUCAUUUGUUUUCUUUUUUUUUUAUCUGAAAAAGUUUUGUUUGAUAGUGGCUCGAAGAAAGCAUUCCUCUUUAUAAAUGUUGAUUCUUUCCUUCUCGUUUGUUGGAGAUAAGGAGAAUAGUCUCAAAUACUGCAAGCUGUCAUAGUUCCAUCAGUUUGGAUACUGAUUUAGAUAAUCUGCCUUACUAAUUGUAAUCAUAUAUGUUUUUCCUAAUCAGUAAUGAUCUUACGUUAAAAAUAAAGUGAGAUUUCUAUCAUCAAAACAUUAAAGUUGGGCAUUAUCUUUGGAAGAACACUAAUUUCUACGUUUAUUUUCAUUCAUAAGGAAAUGUAUAAUCAAUUCUUUCUACUCAGUUCAUUUCAAUUAGGUAAAUGUCUGGAUCUAUAUUAAUUAUGACUUAAUAUUUAAUUUUAUUAGGUAGAUAGGAUCUAAACACAGCAGGAUUGUGUUAAUUGGAACAUCUCUUUGCCCCAAAAUUGGAC